UACGUAGGGUGCAAGCGUUGUCCGGAAUUAUUGGGCGUAAAGAGCUCGUAGGCGGUUUGUCGCGUCUGCUGUGAAAACUCGGGGCUUAACUCCGGGCCUGCAGUGGGUACGGGCAGACUAGAGUGCGGUAGGGGAGACUGGAAUUCCUGGUGUAGCGGUGAAAUGCGCAGAUAUCAGGAGGAACACCAGUGGCGAAGGCGGUGCUCUGGGCCGGAACUGACGCUGAGGAGCGAAAGCGUGGGGAGCGAACAGG
This 253-nucleotide ribosomal RNA is filed under the name uncultured bacterium. Its description in RNAcentral is "partial 16S ribosomal RNA". It matches the Rfam family "Bacterial small subunit ribosomal RNA", at positions 524 to 776 of the family's 1533-position model. The record is from RNAcentral.